Molecule: ribosomal RNA, 489 nt
Filed under: uncultured bacterium
Lineage: Bacteria
Description: partial 16S ribosomal RNA
Rfam family: Bacterial small subunit ribosomal RNA
Source: RNAcentral
AUUGAACGCUGGCGGCAGGCCUAACACAUGCAAGUCGAACGGUAACAGGAAGCAGCUUGCUGCUUUGCUGACGAGUGGCGGACGGGUGAGUAAUGUCUGGGAAACUGCCCGAUGGAGGGGGAUAACUACUGGAAACGGUAGCUAAUACCGCAUAACGUCGCAAGACCAAGAGGGGGACCUUAGGGCCUCUUGCCAUCGGAUGUUCCCAGAUGGGAUUAGCUAGUAGGUGGGGUAACGGCUCACCUAGGCGACGAUCCCUAGCUGGUCUGAGAGGAUGACCAGCCACACUGGAACUGAGACACGGUCCAGACUCCUACGGGAGGCAGCAGUGGGGAAUAUUGCACAAUGGGCGCAAGCCUGAUGCAGCCAUGCCGCGUGUAUGAAGAAGGCCUUCGGGUUGUAAAGUACUUUCAGCGGGGAGGAAGGGAGUAAAGUUAAUACCUUUGCUCAUUGACGUUACCCGCAGAAGAAGCACCGGCUAACUCCGUG